UGGGGAAUUUUGCGCAAUGGGCGAAAGCCUGACGCAGCAACGCCGCGUGGGUGAUGAAGGUCUUCGGAUCGUAAAACCCUGUCGUCAGGGACGAAGGUUGUGUUCCUAAUACGGAUGCAACUUGACGGUACCUGGAGAGGAAGCCCCGGCUAACUCUGUGCCAGCAGCCGCGGUAAUACAGAGGGGGCAAGCGUUAUUCGGAAUUAUUGGGCGUAAAGGGCGCGUAGGCGGUGAUUUAAGUGAGAUGUGCAAUCCCCGGGCUUAACCUGGGAACUGCAUCUCAGACUGGGUCGCUAGAGUGCUGGAGAGGGUGGUGGAAUUCCACGUGUAGCGGUGAAAUGCGUAGAGAUGUGGAGGAACACCAGUGGCGAAGGCGGCCACCUGGACAGUAACUGACGCUGAGGCGCGAAAGUGUGGGGAGCAAACA
RNAcentral lists this ribosomal RNA (427 nucleotides) under uncultured prokaryote. RNAcentral describes it as "bacterial SSU rRNA". It matches the Rfam family "Bacterial small subunit ribosomal RNA", at positions 355 to 774 of the family's 1533-position model. The record is from RNAcentral.